CGCAUGCGUAAAGAUUCGGCGCAAAGCAUGCUGGAAGAUGGCUUUCUGGGAAUUGUAGUUUCUUAGGGCUAAUCUCCAGGAGUGGGUUAUUUAAAAAGGGCGAAGUGGGGAGAUGGGAUUUUGCAUCGAGGGAAGAGGAGUGUGUGCGUGUGUGAGUGAGAAACAAGAAAAGAGCAAGUGAAGGAUUCUAAGAGCUGGAUCUCCAGUUAUUAAGGAGACUUGACUCAUCAACCCUCUUGUGCUUAACGCAUACAAAAAGCUUUUUGGAUAACCUGAACUUUUACUGUAUUCUCCAAUUUCUUAUUAUUUUAUUUAUUUAUUUACUAUUUAGCACAUUUAUAUGCCUCCUAAAACUUGUGUCUCGGGGCAGUUUGCAGUAAAAUAGAAAUUAAAACAAAAUUAAAAUGUUGAAACAUUAAAAAAAUUUAAAAUUUAA
Long non-coding RNA from Hemicordylus capensis (graceful crag lizard), 436 nucleotides. RefSeq lists it as uncharacterized. The transcript is spliced from 2 exons. Lineage: Eukaryota; Metazoa; Chordata; Lepidosauria; Squamata; Cordylidae. The record is from RefSeq and is a predicted model, not a curated record.